This 209-nucleotide long non-coding RNA is filed under the name Lathyrus oleraceus (garden pea). RNAcentral describes it as "Pisum sativum (pea) long non-coding RNA (PSAT_LNC023437)". The record is from RNAcentral. Lineage: Eukaryota; Viridiplantae; Streptophyta; Magnoliopsida; Fabales; Fabaceae.
UUUCCUCUCCCAAAAUGAAUGAAUGAUUUUAAUUUGAUAAAAUUCCUCCUAUGACCAAUUUGUGUUUCUCUCUUCCCCUCCCCUUUCAUAUCCAUCCCUAUUCUUUCCCAUUCCUUUUUUCUGACCAAUGAAAUCUCAAAUAUCAUAAGGCUAAUUGAUUCAUCAAUGACCUUGUGUCAGAUGAACCAAUGCAAGUAUGGAUGAGAUAG